GAUCCUGGCUCAGGAUGAACGCUGGCGGCAUGCCUAAGACAUGCAAGUCGUACGAAGGGGCCCAAUGAAAAGAAUUGAAGUUUGGAGUGCUUGCACAAAGAAUGGAUUUUCUUGGAUUUGGAUUUUCCCCUUAGUGGCAAACGGGUGAGUAACACGUUGGUUACCUACCUCUAAGAUGGGGAUAACAGUUGGAAACGACUGAUAAUACCGAAUGUGCUCUACGGAGUAAAGAAGCCUUUAAAGCUUCGCUUAGAGAUGGG
This 260-nucleotide ribosomal RNA is filed under the name uncultured bacterium. RNAcentral describes it as "partial 16S ribosomal RNA". It matches the Rfam family "Bacterial small subunit ribosomal RNA", at positions 15 to 229 of the family's 1533-position model. The record is from RNAcentral.